GAUGAACGCUGGCGGCGUGCCUAAUACAUGCAAGUCGAGCGAACAGACGAGGAGCUUGCUCCUCUGACGUUAGCGGCGGACGGGUGAGUAACACGUGGAUAACCUACCUAUAAGACUGGGAUAACUUCGGGAAACCGGAGCUAAUACCGGAUAAUAUAUUGAACCGCAUGGUUCAAUAGUGAAAGACGGUUUUGCUGUCACUUAUAGAUGGAUCCGCGCCGCAUUAGCUAGUUGGUAAGGUAACGGCUUACCAAGGCAACGAUGCGUAGCCGACCUGAGAGGGUGAUCGGCCACACUGGAACUGAGACACGGUCCAGACUCCUACGGGAGGCAGCAGUAGGGAAUCUUCCGCAAGGGGCGAAAGCUUGACGGAGCAACGCCGCGUGAGUGAUGAAGGUCUUCGGAUCGUAAAACUCUGUUAUUAGGGAAGAACAAAUGUGUAAGUAACUAUGCACAUCUUGACGGUACCUAAUCAGAAAGCCACGGCUAACUACGUG
This 497-nucleotide ribosomal RNA is filed under the name uncultured bacterium. Its description in RNAcentral is "partial 16S ribosomal RNA". It matches the Rfam family "Bacterial small subunit ribosomal RNA", at positions 28 to 507 of the family's 1533-position model. The record is from RNAcentral.